CAGUGGUGGGGGUUUUCCAUCACAGGGAGGGCCUACAGCUACCAUCACUUCACAUGGAGCUCCUCAAACUCCAACAGGACCUACUGCACAGUUUAACAAUGGAAGUUUCAUUUCACAAGAAGGUGGAUUUUCAGCUCCCUACAGCGGAAACUUCUUUUCACAACAGGGAGGUUACAUGCCUCUUCAUGCUCAUAAUGGACCGGCUGCACAGCUUAGUGGUGGGAACUUCCAUCCACAACAUGGUUCUGUCGGCUCGGUAGCUUCACAGGCCGCUCAUCAAGCUCCAUCUGGACGAGGUUCGCAACAUAACAGUGAUGUUCUGGGCAACGUUUUUUCACAAACAGGGC
This 347-nucleotide long non-coding RNA is filed under the name Malus domestica (apple). Its description in RNAcentral is "long non-coding RNA (MDOM_LNC020278)". Lineage: Eukaryota; Viridiplantae; Streptophyta; Magnoliopsida; Rosales; Rosaceae. The record is from RNAcentral.